CGCAUCUGUGCAUGCAGCAUAUCAAUAAGCGGAGGAAAAGAAACUAACAAGGAUUCCCUUAGUAACGGCGAGUGAAGCGGGAAGAGCUCAAAUUUGAAAUCUUCAAGGUUUUACCUUGACGAAUUGUAGUUUAAAGAAGUGUUUUCUGUUGAAGUUUUGGUAAAAGUUCUUUGGAAUAGGACAUCAUAGAGGGUGAGAAUCCUGUAUUUGACCAUUAUUUUCAGCUGUGUGAUACACUUUCAAAGAGUCGGAUUGUUUGGGAAUGCAGUCCAAAAUGGGUGGUAAAUUUCAUCUAAAGCUAAAUAUUGGCGAGAGACCGAUAGCGAACAAGUACCGUGAGGGAAAGGAUGAAAAGAACUUUGAAAAGAGAGUUAAACAGUACGUGAAAUUGUCAAAAGGGAAGCGUUUGACACCAGUGUUGUUUUUCUCGAAAAUCAAUUAAAAAGAGUUUAGAUUUUGUUGUGUAUUGACCUUAACAGCUUGCAUUUCAAUUUUCUUGCUCUUUUUAAUGCACUUUUCGUUUAACAAGUCAACAUCAGUUUCUUUUGUUGUAAAAAGGUCAUUGGAAGGUGGCUUUCUUUUCGGAGAAAGUGUUUAUAGCCUUUGACUCCUGCAAUCGGAGAGACUGAGGUCUGCAGCGUAGAUCCUUCGGGGUUAGAUACAUUUGUGCUAAGUUAUAGCUUUUUAUAGACAACUUGUUGACUAUGAUUAGUCUUGUAGCUUACUCGCUUAUGCUAUUUUACCUACGCUUAGGAUGUUGACACACGCGCGUGCUCG
This 777-nucleotide ribosomal RNA is filed under the name uncultured Neocallimastigales. RNAcentral describes it as "partial large subunit ribosomal RNA". It matches the Rfam family "Eukaryotic large subunit ribosomal RNA", at positions 26 to 643 of the family's 3401-position model. Lineage: Eukaryota; Fungi; Neocallimastigomycota; Neocallimastigomycetes; Neocallimastigales. The record is from RNAcentral.